RNAcentral lists this transfer RNA (74 nucleotides) under Gammaproteobacteria bacterium. RNAcentral describes it as "tRNA-Cys". It matches the Rfam family "tRNA". From Rfam's summary of the family: Transfer RNA (tRNA) molecules are approximately 80 nucleotides in length. Their secondary structure includes four short double-helical elements and three loops (D, anti-codon, and T loops). The record is from RNAcentral. Lineage: Bacteria; Pseudomonadati; Pseudomonadota; Gammaproteobacteria.
GGCUGAGUGGCAGAAUGGCCAUGCAGCGGACUGCAACUCCGUUUACACCGGUUCGAUUCCGGUCUCAGCCUCCA